AUUGAACGCUGGCGGCAUGCCUUACACAUGCAAGUCGAACGGUAACGCGGGGCAACCUGGCGACGAGUGGCGAACGGGUGAGUAACGCAUCGGAACGUGCCCAGUAGUGGGGGAUAGCCCGGCGAAAGCCGGAUUAAUACCGCAUACGACCUACGGGUGAAAGGGGGGAUCGCAAGACCUCUCGCUAUUGGAGCGGCCGAUGUCAGAUUAGGUAGUUGGUGGGGUAAAGGCCUACCAAGCCGACGAUCUGUAGCUGGUCUGAGAGGACGACCAGCAACACUGGGACUGAGACACGGCCCAGACUCCUACGGGAGGCAGCAGUGGGGAAUUUUGGACAAUGGGCGAAAGCCUGAUCCAGCCAUGCCGCGUGCGGGAAGAAGGCCUUCGGGUUGUAAACCGCUUUUGUCAGGGAAGAAAUCUUCUGGGUUAAUACCUCGGGAGGAUGACGGUACCUGAAGAAUAAGCACCGGCUAACUACGUGCCAGCAGCCGCGGUAA
Molecule: ribosomal RNA, 497 nt
Filed under: uncultured bacterium
Lineage: Bacteria
Description: partial 16S ribosomal RNA
Rfam family: Bacterial small subunit ribosomal RNA
Source: RNAcentral